Molecule: non-coding RNA, 26 nt
Filed under: Drosophila melanogaster (fruit fly)
Lineage: Eukaryota; Metazoa; Arthropoda; Insecta; Diptera; Drosophilidae
Source: RNAcentral
AUGGCAGAGAGUAAAAUAAAAUCCAA